Molecule: non-coding RNA, 72 nt
Organism: Podarcis lilfordi (Lilford's wall lizard)
Lineage: Eukaryota; Metazoa; Chordata; Lepidosauria; Squamata; Lacertidae
Source: the annotation of a GenBank genome assembly
UGGGAUAGCUCAGUCGGUAGAGAAUGAGACUCAUCAUCUCAGGGUCGUGGGUUUGAGCCCCACACUGGAAAA